This 251-nucleotide ribosomal RNA is filed under the name uncultured prokaryote. Its description in RNAcentral is "partial 16S rRNA". It matches the Rfam family "Bacterial small subunit ribosomal RNA", at positions 525 to 775 of the family's 1533-position model. The record is from RNAcentral.
ACGUAGGUGGCGAGCGUUGUCCGGAAUUACUGGGCGUAAAGCGCGCGCAGGCGGUUAUUUAAGUUAGAUGUGAAAACCCAGGGCUCAACUUUGGGAUUGCAUUUAAAACUGUAGAACUUGAGUACAGGAGAGGUAGGUGGAAUUCCUGGUGUAGCGGUGAAAUGCGUAGAUAUUAGGAGGAACACCAGUGGCGAAGGCGACCUACUGGACUGCAACUGACGCUGAUGCGCGAAAGCGUGGGGAGCAAACAG